CUUCGGACAAAGNUUUAUCGCCUUUGGAUGGGCCCGCGUUGGAUUAGCUAGUUGGUGGGGUAAAGGCCUACCAAGGCGACGAUCCAUAGCUGGUCUGAGAGGAUGAUCAGCCACACUGGGACUGAGACACGGCCCAGACUCCUACGGGAGGCAGCAGUGGGGAAUAUUGGGACAAUGGGCGAAAGCCUGAUCCAGCAAUGCCGCGUGAGUGAUGAAGGCCUUAGGGUUGUAAAGCUCUUUUACUGGGGAUGAUAAUGACAGUACCCAGAGAAUAAGCUCCGGCUAACUCCGUG
This 293-nucleotide ribosomal RNA is filed under the name uncultured bacterium. Its description in RNAcentral is "partial 16S ribosomal RNA". It matches the Rfam family "Bacterial small subunit ribosomal RNA", at positions 195 to 507 of the family's 1533-position model. The record is from RNAcentral.